This 115-nucleotide ribosomal RNA is filed under the name Peltigera neopolydactyla. Its description in RNAcentral is "partial 26S ribosomal RNA". It matches the Rfam family "Eukaryotic large subunit ribosomal RNA", at positions 1 to 111 of the family's 3401-position model. Lineage: Eukaryota; Fungi; Ascomycota; Lecanoromycetes; Peltigerales; Peltigeraceae. The record is from RNAcentral.
AUGACCGCGGAUCAGGUGAGGAUACCCGCUGAAUUUAAGCAUAUUAAUAAGCGGAGGAAAAGAAACCAACAGGGAUUGCCUCAAGUAGCCGGCGAAGUGAAGCGGCAACAGCUCA